GGGUUGUGAGGUUAAGCGACUAAGCGUACACGGUGGAUGCCCUGGCAGUCAGAGGCGAUGAAGGACGUGCUAAUCUGCGAUAAGCGCCGGUAAGGUGAUAUGAACCGUUAUAACCGGCGAUUUCCGAAUGGGGAAACCCAGUGUGAUUCGUCACACUAUCAUUAACUGAAUCCAUAGGUUAAUGAGGCGAACCGGGGGAACUGAAACAUCUAAGUACCCCGAGGAAAAGAAAUCAACCGAGAUUCCCCCAGUAGCGGCGAGCGAACGGGGAGGAGCCCAGAGCCUGAAUCAGCAUGUGUGUUAGUGGAAGCGUCUGGAAAGGCGCGCGAUACAGGGUGACAGCCCCGUACACAAAAGCGCAUGUGCUGUGAGCUCGAUGAGUAGGGCGGGACACGUGGUAUCCUGUCUGAAUAUGGGGGGACCAUCCUCCAAGGCUAAAUACUCCUGACUGACCGAUAGUGAACCAGUACCGUGAGGGAAAGGCGAAAAGAACCCCGGCGAGGGGAGUGAAAAAGAACCUGAAACCGUGUACGUACAAGCAGUGGGAGCACAGGUUUACCUGUGUGACUGCGUACCUUUUGUAUAAUGGGUCAGCGACUUAUAUUCUGUAGCAAGGUUAACCGUAUAGGGGAGCCGUAGGGAAACC
RNAcentral lists this ribosomal RNA (646 nucleotides) under Salmonella enterica subsp. enterica serovar Typhimurium. RNAcentral describes it as "partial 23S ribosomal RNA". It matches the Rfam family "Bacterial large subunit ribosomal RNA", at positions 1 to 678 of the family's 2925-position model. The record is from RNAcentral. Lineage: Bacteria; Pseudomonadati; Pseudomonadota; Gammaproteobacteria; Enterobacterales; Enterobacteriaceae.